Molecule: long non-coding RNA, 1928 nt
Organism: Piliocolobus tephrosceles (Ugandan red Colobus)
Lineage: Eukaryota; Metazoa; Chordata; Mammalia; Primates; Cercopithecidae
Source: Ensembl
UAUGUGUGCAAUUACACUUAUGCAAAUAUGUUAUAUGAACAGAGUGUAUACGUAAAUGCACACAUAUUAUAUGUAUAAACUUAGAAGUUAAAAAUACAUACAUGCAAAAUAUAAGUACACAGUGAGACAGGAGCGAAAACUAAAAAGAAAAAAAAAAAUAAUAACAUAAUGGAAUACAUUUUAAACAACGAGGAAAUUAAAAAAGUUGUCGAAAAAAAUGAAAUUUAUUACUCAGUCGUUGAGUUUAAUGAUGUCCUAUAUUUAAAUAACAAGCUAUAUAAACAAAUUGACAACUUACAAAAUUUGAGCAACUUGAAAACGUUAUACCUGAACAAUAAUGGUUGGUUAAAGAAUAUAAUGUAAACAGAUAAAUUUUAUGAAUGUUUUAGUAUGUAAACUGUAUAAAUGAAAGCACACUGAACAUAAAACAAAAGACAAAAUUGUUAUUAAUAUAUGUAUAUAUAUAUAUUAUUUAUUUUUUUUUUUCCUUUUGUUUCCUUUCCCUUUUUCCAAAUUGAAUUAACAAUAUGUUUAGCCUUAGAAAGCAUUAAUGGACUUGACUCUUGUGUUAACCUCAUAGCACUGUUAGUAUUUAUUUGUAUAUGCAUAUGUAAAUGUUACAAAUUAAUUUUUUACACAAUAUGAAACAGCAAUAUAUAUAUAUUAUCAUUAUGACAUAAAUAAACAGUUGAUGAUACAAACAUACAUACACUAAUUACAUGAUAGUAUACUAAUUAUAUAUAAUUUUUUUUUUUUUUUAAGAUAUUUAAAUUGUAAUAAAAUUUCCAAAAUUAAAAAUUUAGAUUUUUUAAGUAAUUUGAGAAUAUUAAAUUUAGAGAACAAUAACAUUAGCGUAAUAGAAAAUCUAGGUACUUUAUUUUUUUAUUUUAUUUUUUUUGUAUUAUUGAUGCGUUAUAUACACAUAAAUAUAUGUAUAUAUAUAUAUAUAUAUAUGUAUAUAUUACCCAAUUUAUACAGCUGUAGCACUUUUUCCUUCACUUCUUUAGACAAACUAACUUAUUUAGAAGAGUUAAAUCUUAACAAUAAUUGUUUAGGUAGUAAGGGUUCAGCCCAAGUUUACAAUUUGCAUAGUAAUGGUAGACUAUCCAUAUUAAACUUAAGCAACAACCAAAUAAAUGAAGAUGUUAUAUAUGACCUAAGUCGUUUAAAACACUUAUCUAUUUUGUACUUUGUUAACAACCCAAUAUUGACAACUUAUGGAAAUUAUCGAAGGUUAUUUGUGCAUACGUUAAAGGCUUUAACCUUUCUGAACUAUAGACCCAUUAAAAAGGAAGAAAGAAGAUGUGUUGAAGCAUUUUUCGAAGGAGGAUUACAAAAAGAACAAGAGGAGUUGGAGAAGAUAAAAUCUGAGAAACGGGCACAGCAUGAAUUUGAAGUAGAAUACUUUAGGAGGCACGUUAUGAAUAAGUGGUAGAGAGUUAAACUAAAAUACAUCUGACUCAUUUAGAUAGUCAAAGAUGCAUGCAAAAUUCGUAAAAUAUAGUCACACUUUUCUUUAGUAUUCAAAUGUUUCCACUGAAAAGUUAAAAAAAAAAAAGAAAAAGAAAAUUACUUGAUGAAAGGUUUGUAUUUAUGAGAAGAUUAAAAGAAAGCACAUUUUUUGUUGCUUCAUAAUGUGGAUACAUAUAUAACUGGACGUAUUAAAAUAUAUGUAUAUAUGUAUAUGCAAGUGUUAUGAACUUAUAUAUUUUUUAUUUAUUUUUCCUCUUUUGCUUUAUUUUCCCAUUUGUUUGCUAUUUGCAUUUUACCUCGCUCAAAUAUAACAAAGAUGUGUUGUAGGUCUUUUUUAUAUUUUCGUAAACAUAAUGGCUUUCGUUUAUGAGAAUCUUAUUUUCUUGAUUUUUGUCUCUGAAAAAAUGAACAGCCAAAAAAAAAAAAAUAAAUAAAUAUAAAAUGAAAAUAUUACA